AGAGUUUGAUCCUGGCUCAGGAUGAACGCUGGCGGCGUGCCUAAUACAUGCAAGUCGAGCGGUAAGGCCUCUUCGGAGGUACACGAGCGGCGGACGGCUGAGUAACGCGUAGGAACGUACCCCAAAGUGAGGGAUAAGCACCGGAAACGGUGUCUAAUACCGCAUGUGAUCUACGGAUUAAAGCUUUAUGCGCUUUGGGAACGGCCUGCGUAUGAUUAGCUUGUUGGUGAGGUAAUGGCUCACCAAGGCGACGAUCAUUAGCUGGUCUGAGAGGAUGAUCAGCCAGACUGGGACUGAGACACGGCCCAGACUCCUACGGGAGGCAGCAGUAGGGAAUUUUCCACAAUGGGCGAAAGCCUGAUGGAGCAACGCCGCGUGCAGGAUGAAUGCCUUCGGGUUGUAAACUGCUUUUAUCUGUGACGAUAAUGACGGUAGCAGAUGAAUAAGGAUCGGCUAACUCCGUGCCAGCAGCCGCGGUCAUACGGAGGAUCCAAGCGUUAUCCGGAAUUACUGGGCGUAAAGAGUUGGCGUAGGUGGCAUAGUAAGUUGGGUAGUGAAAGCAUAUGGCUCAACCAUAUAUACAUUACCAAAACUGCUAAGCUAGAGGACGAGAGAGGGUAAAGAUGGAAUUCCCAGUGGUAGGAGUUGAAAUCCGUAGAUAUUUUGGGGGAGGAACCACCGAAUGGGGCGUAAGGCAGUCUACCUGGCUCGUUUCUAACACUACGCACGAAAGCCGUGGGGGAGCAAAACGGGAUAGAUA
Molecule: ribosomal RNA, 760 nt
Filed under: uncultured bacterium
Lineage: Bacteria
Description: bacterial SSU rRNA
Rfam family: Bacterial small subunit ribosomal RNA
Source: RNAcentral